AGGGGAAGCUGGGCGGGAGUUAAUCAACGCGCUCUGGGCGCCAUCAUAGGGUGGUGGUCGGGAAGCGGUGGGGGAUACAUCGUCAUUACAAACAUUUCGGUGAUACAUGUAAAUUGUUUGCCCCUCAAAGUCUAACUCUUCCUCUGUCCAACCCUCCUGUUUAAGACCUCUAGCGACCCGGUACCAAGCCUCUACGGCUUUCGUUAACCCGUUAUCCAG
Non-coding RNA from Pelobates cultripes (western spadefoot toad), 219 nucleotides. The record is from the annotation of a GenBank genome assembly. Lineage: Eukaryota; Metazoa; Chordata; Amphibia; Anura; Pelobatidae.